Molecule: ribosomal RNA, 629 nt
Filed under: uncultured bacterium
Lineage: Bacteria
Description: bacterial SSU rRNA
Rfam family: Bacterial small subunit ribosomal RNA (bases 1-542)
Source: RNAcentral
CCUACGGGAGGCAGCAGUGGGGAAUUUUGGACAAUGGGCGCAAGCCUGAUCCAGCCAUGCCGCGUGCGGGAAGAAGGCCUUCGGGUUGUAAACCGCUUUUGUCAGGGAAGAAACGGCUUUCUCUAAUACAGAGGGCUAAUGACGGUACCUGAAGAAUAAGCACCGGCUAACUACGUGCCAGCAGCCGCGGUAAUACGUAGGGUGCAAGCGUUAAUCGGAAUUACUGGGCGUAAAGCGUGCGCAGGCGGUUAUGCAAGACAGAUGUGAAAUCCCCGGGCUCAACCUGGGAACUGCAUUUGUGACUGCAUGGCUAGAGUACGGUAGAGGGGGAUGGAAUUCCGCGUGUAGCAGUGAAAUGCGUAGAUAUGCGGAGGAACACCGAUGGCGAAGGCAAUCCCCUGGACCUGUACUGACGCUCAUGCACGAAAGCGUGGGGAGCAAACAGGAUUAGAUACCCUGGUAGUCCACGCCCUAAACGAUGUCAACUGGUUGUUGGGAGGGUUUCUUCUCAGUAACGUAGCUAACGCGUGAAGUUGACCGCCUGGGGGAGGACGGUCCGGCGAGUUAGUUAACGUACGAAAGAAAGUUAGACGGCGNGAGAGNGCGACGGACGACGACGAGGGAGGAGG